GAUGAACGCUAGCUACAGGCUUAACACAUGCAAGUCGAGGGGUAACAAGAGGAAAGCUUGCUUUUCUUGUUGACGACCGGCGCACGGGUGAGUAACGCGUAUCCAACCUGCCUAUAACUAGGGAAUAACCUUGCGAAAGUAAGACUAAUACCCUAUGAUUUCCUUUGAUGACAUCAGAUUAGGAAUAAAGAUUUAUCGGUUAUAGAUGGGGAUGCGUCUGAUUAGCUUGUUGGCGGGGUAACGGCCCACCAAGGCAACGAUCAGUAGGGGUUCUGGGAGGAAGGUCCCCCACAUUGGAACGGAGACACGGUCCAAACUCCUACGGGAGGCAGCAGUGAGGAAUAUUGGUCAAUGGGCGGAAGCCUGAACCAGCCAAGUAGCGUGCAGGAUGACGGCCCUAUGGGUUGUAAACUGCUUUUAUACAGGAAUAAAGUUAGCCACGUGUGGUUAUUUGUAGGUACUGUAUGAAUAAGGACCGGCUAAUUCCGUGCCAGCAGCCGCCGUAA
This 506-nucleotide ribosomal RNA is filed under the name uncultured bacterium. RNAcentral describes it as "partial 16S ribosomal RNA". It matches the Rfam family "Bacterial small subunit ribosomal RNA", at positions 28 to 523 of the family's 1533-position model. The record is from RNAcentral.